UUAACUCAAAUUUGUAUGGAGUUGGAACAUUUGCCGCUAGGAGCGCUAUUCCAACUGCAUACAAAUUUGAGUUA
Molecule: non-coding RNA, 74 nt
Organism: Bombyx mori (domestic silkworm)
Lineage: Eukaryota; Metazoa; Arthropoda; Insecta; Lepidoptera; Bombycidae
Source: Rfam